This 1352-nucleotide long non-coding RNA is filed under the name Olea europaea subsp. europaea. The record is from RNAcentral. Lineage: Eukaryota; Viridiplantae; Streptophyta; Magnoliopsida; Lamiales; Oleaceae.
GUUGAAUGUUAAGUGCCUUUACUAAUCACCUAAUGUCUGCUUAAACAAAUUAGAAACCUUACUAGUCUUGAUUAAAUAGGAGCCCUAAAAUGGGCCCAUUCAUGCCCUAAUUUUUCUCUAGCCAACAAAUCAGAUGAAUUUUUUAAGUGAACAAAUCCAAGAAGUGGACUUUCCAGUUUUCAAUAUGAACACAGAAAAGUAAGAAGUGGACUUUCCACUUUUCAAUAUGAACGCAGAAAAGUAAGAUCCACUUAGUACCUCAACCAAACCAAUAUUUAAUUACUCAUCCAACUUGGUCAUAUUUUACUCAUCAAAUUUCAAAAUGCUUCCUAAUGGUCACUCAUGUUUGAGAGGCUGGACUCCAUUCAUUAUUUGUCCAAUUUCAAUUACUUCGAUGCUAACUUAUUGCAUGAAAAUCUCACAUGGCAAGUUACGAUUGUUAACAAAAUUACUACUCAACCAAUCUAUCAACUCACCAAAAUAACCAUAUGUGAAACGUGACUUUCAUGGUCCCAUAAACUUCUUUAAGUCUCAAUAAAGCAUCCGAAUUUCAAUCCUAAAAGGUUCUAGCUCCUAAUUCAAUCAUCUCAUCCACAUACAGCUAAAUUGUAUAAUAAGACAAACCCAAUUGUUGAGAUGGAUAGGAAAAGCUAUUACUUAUAAAGUCGUAUCCCCUAAUUGUACCAUAUGCUCAACGUCUCUCUAAUUCCAAUCUUCCACUUUCCCAAGUGUGUAUCCAACUAUUUGAGGAAUGAAAUGUUAUUGAACUCUGACAAUUGGUGCACGGCGAAAUACCUUAUGGGUUCCGUUCGUAUUUGUUGUUCUUUGUUCAUCAAUUUAGCCAGAGUUCAAUGACAUAUAUUCUUCAAAUAGUUUAGCACAUGCCUUCAAGAAUGGAAGAUUAGAAUUAGAGAAAUGUCGACCAGAUUGUACAAUUAAGGGAUAAGGCUUUAUAAUUAGUAGCUCUAGCGUCCUUCACAACAAUCGGUUCUGUCUCAACACACAAUUUAGCUGUACUUGAGUGAGAUGAGCGAAUUGAGGGUUAGGGUUUUCUAGGAUUGAAAUUGGGGAUUCAUUAUUGGGGCUUAAAGAAGUUUAUGGGUUGUGGAAGUCGCAUUUCACAUAUGGUGAUUUUGGUAGGUUAAUGGUUUGGCCGAGUUGUAAAUUUGUUAACGUUCAUAACUUGUCAAGUAAGAUUUUCGUGCGCUACGCUAACAAUGGAGGGAACAAAAUCUAUGCAGAUGAUGUAGUGCAACAUUUCAAAGAUGAGUGAUCAUUGGGAAUUAUUUUAAAGUUUGAUGAGUAAAUUGUGGUUUGGCUAGUUGUAGUUUUUUUAAGGCCGUAACUUGUCA